AAACCAGCACCUCAAGUGGUCAGGAGGAUUAUUGGGCCUAAAGCAUCCGUAGCCUGUUCUAUAAGUUUCCGGUUAAAUCCACAUGCUCAACAUUUGGGCUGCCGGAAAAACUGUAGAUCUAGGGAGUGGGAGAGGUAGACGGUACUCGGUAGGAAGGGGUAAAAUCCUUUGAUCUAUUGAUGACCACCAGUGGCGAAGGCGGUCUACCAGAACACGUUCGACGGUGAGGGAUGAAAGCUGGGGGAGCAAACCGGAUUAGAUACCCGAGUAGUCC
This 274-nucleotide ribosomal RNA is filed under the name uncultured bacterium. Its description in RNAcentral is "partial 16S ribosomal RNA". It matches the Rfam family "Archaeal small subunit ribosomal RNA", at positions 473 to 747 of the family's 1478-position model. The record is from RNAcentral.